UGGGGUAUAGUUCAGUGGUAGAGCAUGUGAUAAGCAUGCACCAGAUCCUGGGUUCAAUUCCCAGUACCUUCG
Molecule: transfer RNA, 72 nt
Filed under: Camelus bactrianus (Bactrian camel)
Lineage: Eukaryota; Metazoa; Chordata; Mammalia; Artiodactyla; Camelidae
Also listed under: 1 other name
Rfam family: tRNA
About the family: Transfer RNA (tRNA) molecules are approximately 80 nucleotides in length. Their secondary structure includes four short double-helical elements and three loops (D, anti-codon, and T loops).
Source: Rfam by way of RNAcentral